UUGAUGAUUUUGAUCUCUCCCUCAACUCGAGUGCUGAUUACGAUAGGCCUAUAUUGUAUUACAUACAAAUAUGUUAUAUUUCUAAUUUUAGUAAAAGGUUGGACACACAAUUAACAUUACUUAUAAAGUAGGCUACUCAAUCAUCAAUGCAGAAUUCUGUCAUAAAGUCUUAUAUGCCACUCCGUUCUCCCUAUUUCAACUAGGUGUGUUUGCGUUUUGUGUGUACACACUUGCUCAACAUGGUCUGGUGGAUCAUCACAGGGGAAUUCAGCUUCAUCUGAAGAGUCAAUCUGGAAAAGCCAAAUUUAUCAAUGAGAUUAGGAUACCCACAGCAAAUAGAAAGUAGCUGUUUGUGGCAGCUUGAACUUAAAUUACAAUUGUACAGUUAUAAUUUCUGAACAUCCAUUCUCUUAAUUAACUUUGUGUUUAAUGUGUACAUACCAUAGACUGUGUAUUAAUUUGAUCAUCAAGGUCUCCGUCAUCAGAGAAUUCAGCUUCAAAUGAAGGCCUUGAAUCAAUCUGGAAGCCAGUGGACAAAUAGAGGUUAGCCUAGCUGUAGGGAAUUACUUCGACAAAGUGUCGCAAUGAGGCGCUCUUAUUCCAGUUUUUCUUACCUCCUCGGUCGAACUUGCUGGCCGUUCCUCUGUUCUCAAUUGACUUCUGUACCAUUUUGUAGUUUUUGGCACAGGUAUAGAAAAAUCGGAAAAAUAUCGUUUAUAAUUUCGUGAAAUUUUGCAGUUAGACGACUGUCAAUGCAGACAAAUUUAAACUGAAAACAACAACUGAACAACUGAAAAAGACAACUGUAAACCCGCAAGCGUCUCACGCGCUGCGAAUGCGGUUGUAAACAUAUGCUACGCAUUUGCAGCGCGUGAGACGUCCGUUGAAUAUUUGACAAUCAAGUCGUGAGUUUUAGUCGUGAGUUUGCUACGGAAAAAUAAAGAAAAUGGCAAAAUAUGCACUAUUUGACUUUCCGGAUGAAGGGGCUGUGGACAUAGGCGAAAUAGCAUGGGUGGUAGGCGAAGUAAAUUUAAAAGAUCCUUUUGUAACAUAUAAAGUUCAUUGGCCAAACAAGGGAAGGAUUGUGUCAUGUCCAAGAUGGAUUAUAUCAGUCAGUGGUAAGUAACACAAUUUUUUUUCUCCUUUGACUAUGUUUAUAUAAAGUAUGUGCAUAACUACAUACAUAUGGUAAUAUUUCAAAUAUCACGGUAAACGUUUUCGUUUCAAAAACGUUGUUAAUUGUUAAGCUCGCAACGGUAGGCACGAUAAGGCCGCCUAGCUCGCGGCCUAUAAUGUGAGGCACGGGAAAAAUAAUAAAAAAUAAUACUAGCAUUUUAAACACACAUAAUGAAAACGUCAUAAUUUUGACGUUUUCAGACAACAGAGAGGAGUUAGUUUGCAAGAGAAGGCAUUAUCUUGAUGGUGGAGACAAACUGUCGAGCCCGGAGGAGAAAUGGAAGGGGAAAAGAAAGAAACUGAAGAAUGGUCGAUAUUCUGACGACGACGUAGUAUCGCUGGAUCCUCAGUUAAGUCAAUGUAAGAAGAAGAAGAAGAAGAGACAAGAAACCCAGGUCUUAACGUCUUAAUGGAACUGGAAAAGCAAGGUAUUGGUGCAGUGAUGUACAAAUAUUCACCUUAUGGAAGUGCUUCUUAACAUCAGUGAAUUAUUGUAAUGUGAUGUAGCCUAAUGUUGUCUGUCAUAUUGUACACCAUGUGGUCGCCAACUGGCCUGCUUUGCCUGGCCUGUCAGAUCAUUUUGACUUUUAGCUUUCUGUCAACUUAUUAAGCAUAUUAACAAGAUUAGAUUUGAGUAUUCAUCUCCUGUUCCGCCUGCAUUGUCUACUCGCUCAGGCUCAUCCCCCCUGCUGACCUCUGUUGUACAGUCUUGAUGUAACCCUUAACUCUAUGUACAUCUUCUGUUUGUCAUAGGAUCAUGUCAGCUGAACUAAAUUAAUGAAACCAGGAAUGAAGUAAGAUCCACUAAUGUAAUAAACUGUCUGCACUUCAUGUUCUACCUACAAUUAAAGUUUUUAUUUCCUAACUCUAUAGUUUAGGGAUAGAUACAGCAAUAUAUUCCUGUAAUCUAUCAGCUGUAAGCUUUGUACCCUCUAACUGGCUUUUGUAUUUGCCCAGGUGUAUGUGAGUCAGUUUUGUUUUUUUAAUGGAAUUUCUAUUUUCAGUGCCAUCACCCAUCUUGUGAGCUGUUGAGGGAGAACAACCACAGGCUGCAGAGGGAAAAUGAUUCUCUCAAGGCAAAAAAAGCAACAUUGAAAUUGCUGCCAGACGUUUUGCAGAAGAUGGAGGAGUUUCUCCGCUCAGCACCAAGACCAACGACAACACCAAUACCAACACCAACACCAAGACCAAGACCAGAACCAACACUAUCACCAGCACCAACAGCAGUUCCAGCACCAGCAACAGAAGACCCAUCACCAGCUCCAGGUCCAUCAUCAGCAUCAGCAACAGAGGCCCUGGGUCACUCUGUAAGAAUCUGUUUGUAUUUAUUUGUAUAGGUUGUUACUUAGUUUCAGUUGCACUGUUUUUCUAAAUGCAUCAGCCGUACACUCGGUUAAUCUAAAUGCAUAUAUAUAUCAUUGAGGUAAGACGCUAGUCUGCUGUAUGUUGAAGUAGAUUUGUGGUAAUGUUAUCUACUUGCAUUAAAGGUCAUUCCAAAAGGACUUGUGGAGCGCUGCUCCUUCUAAAGCCCCCAGAAGUUCAUAAAUGAUCUCCUUCAUGGGAUGUAUACCAGGGAAUACAUGGCAGGCCAUUCAGUGACUGGCCAGUCAUCCAGCAGCUGCACAGAAGGAAAACCUGGCCUAGCCAAACCAGACCUUGUUGAAAUAGGAAGUAGGUAUAUAGAAAUGAGAAAAGAUGUUGGUUGAGUGAUACCCUCAUUCUCAUGCUCAUCUUUCGUGUAUGUGUUUGUGUGUGUGUGUGUGUGUAUUCCCACAGAUGCUGCAAAGUUGAAGUUCACCUACGUAACUGAUAUGAACAUAAAAGCAUUUAUACGUAAAAAGCUGAACAAUGCUGCCAAAUUUCAGAAACAAUAAAUUAUCAACUGUUUAAAGAACUAAACUUUUGUUCUAUUUUUUUGGUAUUUUAGCAGUCAGUAGAAAACACUGUGUUAAUGGUGGUUGUAAGCCUAAGUUAUGUGCAGUGAAUUAUUGUUACAGCACUAUGGUUAAAAAUGGCAACAACGAAAAGUGAUACAGUUGAAAAUAUCCAUUAGGUAAAGUACAAUGACAUAGUUAAAAGAACAACAAAAUACUGCAUAAUGCAGUUAUUGUAAUGCAGUAUAUAUAGUACUAUGGUAUCGUAAUUGUAGUAUUCUAUAGCAAAAUAAAAGUAUAAUAAAAGUUCUGUAAUUUACUUCAGUAGAUUGUAGUUUCUGUAGUAAA
Gadus chalcogrammus (walleye pollock) is the source of this 3398-nucleotide long non-coding RNA. RefSeq lists it as uncharacterized. NCBI's taxonomy places the organism in Eukaryota, Metazoa, Chordata, Actinopteri, Gadiformes, Gadidae. The transcript is spliced from 3 exons. The record is from RefSeq and is a predicted model, not a curated record.